Molecule: non-coding RNA, 2744 nt
Organism: Rattus norvegicus (Norway rat)
Lineage: Eukaryota; Metazoa; Chordata; Mammalia; Rodentia; Muridae
Source: RefSeq, a predicted model, not a curated record
GGGCGGUGGUGUUUCUUUGUGAGUGGUUCCUAGUUACGCGCCGUCUCUCUGGUUCUUCUGUUGUACGUUUUAAUCAUAAAUUGUGGCAUAUUCGGUAACGUAACGUAUCGCAGCAUAGUAUAACAACGUGUGCGAUGCUGAGUACGAGUUCCUGGACACUGUGUACGCACCCAUUUAAGCUACAUCUGUGAGACAUUCGGCAUCACUCUUGAGAAUUCUAAUGAACUCCCAUUACCAAGGCCCCUAGAGAGAAUCCUGUGGGCUUAGGACGUGGUUGUCCCUUGUGAAACUGCAUCUGAUUCACCAGAAUUUCCAAGCGGGCCCAGUCCUCCAAGCACAGUGCCUGUUUCUUGCUUAUCACCUUUGUGUAUGGUUUUUGUCUUUUCAUCUAUAUGCAGCCUCUCAGAUACUGAUAUCUUAAUACACUUUGCUACGUUAAAUUAAUAAGCUCAUUAGUGGUAUUAGUGUGACUUAGUAUUCCCAGGGCUAUAUAAGGAAUCUACAAGAGUCAAAUAUUGUGAUAAUACUUAACGAUUAUUGCGCUGGCUAAUUUCAUGUCAACUUAAUACAGGUUACAGUCAUCUGAGAGGAGGGAACCCCAAUCGAGAAAAUACCUCUUAUAAGAUUGGACUGUAGUUGAGCUGCAUUUGUGGGGACUCCAUAGAGAGAAAAGCAUCAAAAAACUUCUGAUGGUGUGCUACAGUUUUUUGCCAAGGACGCAGGCGGAGUGGCAGAGUGACGUCAGCUGAGACAUCCGCACUUGCUGAGGGAAGAGCCGUGGAGGACACGUGAUGUUUGGAGAUUAUAUAGGACUCCACAGAGUGACAGAGACAGAGCUUGGCUUGCUGGUACAUCUAGCUGUGCAAUGCUUGUGGGUCUCCAGUCUUCGCUGAUCUUCGACUCCCUGAGAGAGGCACAGCCGAGAACUUCUCCUGGUGAUCCCUGGGUCCCUCCUGCUGACUCGAGGCCUGGCUGUCUCUGCUAGAUCGAGUCGCGGCCGUUGCUAUCCCAACUCUACCAAACUGGACUGCUGGUGCAUCCCUGAGGUGUUUGUGAGUGGAUAGAGCUGCUGCUGCCUGCUGACCUGUGAACUGCACUGCCGAUUUCCAGACGACACAGGUAGCUGAGGAAAACUGGAUGAAGUGUGGCAAAUGUUUGUGACUUCAGCCACACCGAGAAGUUGGGAAGAGCAGAUGAAAAUAAUCUACGGACAUCGAUAAUCAGGAACUGAGAAGAUGGGUUCAGAUGCAGGUAGGUUUGAGCGUCAUCCGUGCAGGCAAUGGACCGAAGGGAGACAAAUGAACACGGAGGAACUAAAGAGGUAGAGAUGGGGUGGGCAGAGGAUGCAGAGAAACUUGUCACACACACAGGCGUUCAACCAGGAAAAGGCAGUGUCUAGAACUUCACUGAUGAUGGGGAAGGAACCACUGAUGCGAUGCUGGUUAGGUACGUCAGGGAAAUGCUAGACUAAGGGAACCACAGUAGUUACAGCAUGCUGCUGCAGCCUUCACCUGACCUGCUGUUGCUUCUCUCUGUACAUGGGGCUGACGUCCCUGGAUCCCAGAUUCUGCCUUUUGAAAUGGGCAAGGCAGAGAGAGUUGCAGUUCCUAAGAAGCUGAUGUAAACACUUCCAGUGAGUGAAGGGAUAAACACACUACACGGUAUGCAUUCCCUAUCAUUUCCGCAGGCGCACGAAAGGGAAGACUCUCAGAAGGGACUGAGGUGGGUUAUGGUCAGUAUUACCCAGGAGAGGACUUACAGCCAAGACUGCCUCUGCCAUUUCAUUCUCAGCCUAAGAUACCGAGGAGACCCGGGAGCCCUUGGCACUUGACUUUCUGCCACUUUCUUUCCUCCUUGUUUUAUUUUUUAAUUAAAAGACCACCCUGGUUGCAUAAGACCUCUAUAACGCAAAUAUGUAAUAUAUAACCUGGUGGUGAUUUUCAUUUUGACCUUUGGUACGUGUGUGACCGAGUGUGUGGGGGCACCACAUGCAUGCGGGUGCCCCUGAGGAUGUCAGAGCCCUUGGGACUGGAGUUAGAGUUAUGGAAUUGAACGUGGGUCCUCCGUAAGAACAGACGAGCUCUUCACUGCUGAGCCUUGAGGUUUAAAAUUUUUAAAAAUCUUACUUGUGUGUGCGUGUUGACACGUACAUUCAUGACGUGCAUGUAGAGGUCAGAGGUCGUCUUGUGUAGGUCAAUUCUCCCCUUCCACCACCUGAUUCCUGGACGUCAAACUCAGGUUGUCAGGCUCAGUGUCAAGCAUCUCCAGCUGCUGAGCCAUUUCUUCUGACUCCAUAAUUAUUUUUUUUUUUCCUAGAUAGUGUCUCACUUUGUACCUCUGGCUGACCGCAAACAAAUCAAUAAACAAGCAAAAAGAAAAAAAAAAACAGAACAAAACAAAUGCAAACAAACACCAGCCUCCACCAAAAAAAUCAAACGAGAAUUUAUCUCAGUAUUUAAACAAUUAGUUUUUACUUAGUGUAACUUUACUGUUCAAAAAUCAUACUUACUGGGGUUGGGGAUUUAGCUCAGUGGUAGAGCGCUUGCCUAGGAAGCGCAAGGCCCUGGGUUCGGUCCCCAGCUCCGAAAAAAAGAACCAAAAAAAAAAAAAUUAUACUUACUAAAGCCACAACCUAGUCCAGAAGGACAGAACUUUUAUAGCAAAACUUUGAUACACAAUUAUCAGAGAUGCAAAUACUAAAUGGAUACAGAAGCUAUUCAGAGACUGACAAUGACUUCCAGCAA